CGGGGUGUAGCGCAGCUUGGUUAGCGCGCAUGCUUUGGGAGCAUGAGGUCGCGGGUUCGAGUCCCGCCACCCCGA
Molecule: transfer RNA, 75 nt
Filed under: Candidatus Nocardiopsis merdipullorum
Lineage: Bacteria; Bacillati; Actinomycetota; Actinomycetes; Streptosporangiales; Nocardiopsidaceae
Description: tRNA-Pro
Rfam family: tRNA
About the family: Transfer RNA (tRNA) molecules are approximately 80 nucleotides in length. Their secondary structure includes four short double-helical elements and three loops (D, anti-codon, and T loops).
Source: RNAcentral